CGGAUUGGAGUCUGNAACCCGACUCCAUGAAGCUGGAUUCGCUAGUAAUCGCGCAUCAGCCACGGCGCGGUGAAUACGUUCCCGGGCCUUGUACACACCGCCCGUCAAGCCAUGGAAGCCGGGAGUGCCUGAAGUACGCGACCGCAAGGAGCGUCCUAAGGUAAAACCGGUGACUGGGGCUAAGUCGUAACAAGGUAGC
RNAcentral lists this ribosomal RNA (199 nucleotides) under uncultured bacterium. RNAcentral describes it as "partial 16S ribosomal RNA". It matches the Rfam family "Bacterial small subunit ribosomal RNA", at positions 1294 to 1500 of the family's 1533-position model. The record is from RNAcentral.